GAGGAGAACCACAAGCCUAAUUUAGCCAUUUCAGUUACAACUAACUCUACUCAUGUCUGUCGUGUUCUAAAUCCUUUGGCAAAAGACUAUAUAAGGAAGGAUGAGACCAGGAUGAAGAGUGAACAAGGGGGACAAAUGGAAUGGAAGGGACACAGAUAUUUAUUCCUCCACAUAUUUGCCAUGUCUUUUCCAUGCUGAAGCUAUUCUACUGGAACUUCUCUUUUCUUUGGCAGGAGUUCUGGAAGAAAACAGAUGAAGAGUGGGCAGACUUAUGGAAAUGCAUUUACAAAUCAUUUUGCGUAUGGAGGAAGCAGUUGCUUCAGUUUCACACGUGAAGCUGAAAAGGAGGGAAAGAAGAGAUUUUGAUAGACACAGAGAGAAAAACAUGUGAAAUUACAGGGGAAAGACAACUAGCUAUCUAUAAGCCAAGGGUAGAGACCUCAGAAGAAACCAACAGUGCAAACACCUUGGUCGUGGACUUCUGGCCUCCAAAACGGUGAGAAAAUACAUUUCUGUUGUUUAAGCCCCACAGUCUUUGGUAUUUCAUUGUGGUAACCUGAGCUGGCUAAUACAAUGUGAUUCCAUAAAAUAUGAUAAAGUAAAUUACAUUUGUUAAUUAAUUUUUUAUUCACAAGUUUAAUUCAUUUUUGUUAACUGGGAACUUAGGCAUCACUGUGAUAUGUUUCCAGUAGGAAAUAUACUCCAGGCUUAAAACAACUGAUUUAUAAAUUAGCAUUUGGUUACAAUCCAUUCAUGCAGUGGGGCUCAGACCUUAUUAUCUCAGCUUCUUUUCAAGGGCCUUGAUGUAAGUUCUUUAGGCUUUUUGUUACUCAAAUAUGAUUUUCUUUAAAAAGUACCUACUUCUGGAGUUCCCACUGUAGCUCAGUGGUAACAAACUCGACUA
Molecule: non-coding RNA, 904 nt
Organism: Sus scrofa (pig)
Lineage: Eukaryota; Metazoa; Chordata; Mammalia; Artiodactyla; Suidae
Source: RefSeq, a predicted model, not a curated record